Molecule: ribosomal RNA, 521 nt
Filed under: uncultured bacterium
Lineage: Bacteria
Description: bacterial SSU rRNA
Rfam family: Bacterial small subunit ribosomal RNA
Source: RNAcentral
AGAGUUUGAUUACUGGCUCAGGAUGAACGCUAGCUACAGGCUUAACACAUGCAAGUCGAGGGGCAGCAUGAAGUUUGCUUGCAAACUUGAUGGCGACCGGCGCACGGGUGAGUAACGCGUAUCCAACCUUCCCCUUAGUAGGGCAUAGCCCGGCGAAAGUCGGAUUAAUACCCUAUGUUCUUCGUAGAUGACAUCUGAAAUGAAGCAAAGGUUUACCGCUAAGGGAUGGGGAUGCGUCUGAUUAGGCAGUCGGCGGGGUAACGGCCCACCGAGCCGACGAUCAGUAGGGGUUCUGAGAGGAAGGUCCCCCACAUUGGAACUGAGACACGGUCCAAACUCCUACGGGAGGCAGCAGUGAGGAAUAUUGGUCAAUGGGCGCGAGCCUGAACCAGCCAAGUAGCGUGCAGGAAGACGGCCCUAUGGGUUGUAAACUGCUUUUAUGCGGGGAUAAAGUCGCCCACGUGUGGGUGUUUGUAGGUACCGCAUGAAUAAGGACCGGCUAAUUCCGUGCCAGCAGCUGC